UACGUAGGGUGCGAGCGUUGUCCGGAAUUAUUGGGCGUAAAGAGCUCGUAGGCGGUCUGUCGCGUCGGUCGUGAAAACCUGCAGCUUAACUGUGGGCGUGCGGUCGAUACGGGCAUGACUGGAGUUCGGCAGGGGAGACUGGAAUUCCUGGUGUAGCGGUGAAAUGCGCAGAUAUCAGGAGGAACACCAGUGGCGAAGGCGGCACUCUGGGCCGGUACUGACGCUGAGGAGCGAAAGCGUGGGGAGCGAACAGG
Molecule: ribosomal RNA, 254 nt
Filed under: uncultured bacterium
Lineage: Bacteria
Description: partial 16S ribosomal RNA
Rfam family: Bacterial small subunit ribosomal RNA
Source: RNAcentral